RNAcentral lists this ribosomal RNA (507 nucleotides) under Fidelibacterota bacterium. RNAcentral's name for it is "bacterial SSU rRNA". It matches the Rfam family "Bacterial small subunit ribosomal RNA", at positions 1 to 493 of the family's 1533-position model. The record is from RNAcentral. Lineage: Bacteria; Pseudomonadati; Fidelibacterota.
AAUGGAGAGUUUGAUCCUGGCUCAGGACGAACGCUGGCGGCGUGCUUAAUACAUGCAAGUCAAGGAGAACGUUUUCUUCGGAAAACUAUUAAACUGGCGAACGGGUGAGUAACACGUAGGCAACCUGCCUUGGAGAUGGGGAUAACCUCGGGAAACCGGGACUAAUACCGAAUAAUGCAGCGGCUUCUUUGGAAGAUGUUGUUAAAGCGGGCUUCGGCUCGCACUUCAAGAUGGGCCUGCGUCCGAUUAGCUUGUUGGUAAGGUAACGGCUUACCAAGGCGAUGAUCGGUAGCUGGUCUGAGAGGAUGAUCAGCCACACUGGGAUUGAGAUACGGCCCAGACUCCUACGGGAGGCAGCAGUAGGGAAUUUUGCGCAAUGGACGAAAGUCUGACGCAGCAACGCCGCGUGAUCGAUGAAGCUUCUAGGAGUGUAAAGAUCUGUCGUGAGGGAAGAAAAAUCUGGAUGUAAAUAAUAUUCAGACUUGACGGUACCUUACAAGAAAGCAC